Drosophila melanogaster (fruit fly) is the source of this 559-nucleotide non-coding RNA. Lineage: Eukaryota; Metazoa; Arthropoda; Insecta; Diptera; Drosophilidae. The record is from Ensembl.
UCAGUCCGUGGUGGUUUGCUAACCAGUAUGGUGUUAUCAUCCAUAGUUAUAUCACUUUUCUGCGAAUACCGCUCGCAAUUGUUCUUGCUGGGCCUUCGCUGCUGCCUCCUUGGAUUCCGCACCCUGGUUCACCGCCUUCCAACCCAGCCAGCCGACGGUGUGGAGCACCAGGACGGCGAUUCCGAUCCGGACAGCUGGCCCGUAUUUAAAGGAAGAACGGACAUCGUUUUUGGAACUGUUCAUAACAAAAACACUCUAAACUGGCGGCAAGCAAGAAUCAACUGAUUGCACGGCUACGAAACUUACGAUCGAUGGAAUGAAUCAGUUCCAAAUUAUAUUUAGUGAAUUCGAAGUGAAUUCAUAAGCUAAGUCAAAAUGCAGAAGAAAGAAAAUUAAACAUAAGAUCCAUGACAAUAAUACCCGAUUAUAUAAAAAAACAAUUAAGCUUAACUUUCUUCAAAAUAGAAUAGUUGUUAAAAGAAUAGAAUUGUUUCAAACAGAAAAGCCUUAACUACCAUAACUGCCGAAAGCCAAAUGAAAAUACCUUCUGGCAGGGAAU